UCGGCGUGCGCGGAGAAAAGAGAUGGGGGCGGCGUCACCUCGCCUCGAUUCGCUUCCGGGGCGCCGUGUGGCACACAGUACCUCCCCCUCAAAACGAUGAUCUUUUGCCUUUUUUUCUUGUGUUGCUUUCUUUCUGUAUUCUGCAAGAAGAUGACCAGCUGGCUUUGGCGGUG
Molecule: non-coding RNA, 173 nt
Organism: Caenorhabditis elegans
Lineage: Eukaryota; Metazoa; Nematoda; Chromadorea; Rhabditida; Rhabditidae
Source: Ensembl